Molecule: long non-coding RNA, 309 nt
Filed under: Lepisosteus oculatus (spotted gar)
Lineage: Eukaryota; Metazoa; Chordata; Actinopteri; Semionotiformes; Lepisosteidae
Description: lncRNA (ENSLOCG00000021239.1)
Source: RNAcentral
AGGGAAAACAGGGAGAGAAUUGAAAAGUGAUCCCUGAUCAUCCUGAUGCACAUUAUGAUAACCCAGGACCUUUGCUAUCUGUGGCUCCCAGUGAUUCCCACAGUGGACUCAGCUCAACACCACAGCCACACACAAGCUGAGGCAGCCCAGCCCAAUCCAGCCCAAUCCAAACUGGAGUCACUUCUGAUACUCCGCAAACCUGGAAUCCUGAGGGCUGGUGUUCCCGAAAGUCUGUGGAUUUCCAUAAACCAUCCUGAGAAUACAGGAGGGAUGUGUCAUCUCACUCAGCACAACAAUGUCUUCAUUCUU